Molecule: ribosomal RNA, 540 nt
Filed under: uncultured Geobacteraceae bacterium
Lineage: Bacteria; Pseudomonadati; Thermodesulfobacteriota; Desulfuromonadia; Geobacterales; Geobacteraceae
Description: bacterial SSU rRNA
Rfam family: Bacterial small subunit ribosomal RNA
Source: RNAcentral
GAGUUUGAUCCUGGCUCAGAACGAACGCUGGCGGCGUGCCUGACACAUGCAAGUCGAACGUGAUCCAGAGCUUGCUCUGGUGAAAGUGGCGCACGGGUGAGUAACGCGUGGAUAACCUACCCUGGUAUCCGGGAUAACAUUCCGAAAGGGGUGCUAAUACCGGAUAAGCCCACGGGCUCUUUGGAGCUUGCGGGAAAAGGUGGCCUCUAUUUAUAAGCUACUGUAUCAGGAUGGGUCCGCGUACCAUUAGCUAGUUGGCGGUGUAACGGACCACCAAGGCGACGAUGGUUAGCUGGUCUGAGAGGAUGAUCAGCCACACUGGAACUGAGACACGGUCCAGACUCCUACGGGAGGCAGCAGUGGGGAAUUUUGCGCAAUGGGGGAAACCCUGACGCAGCAACGCCGCGUGAGUGAUGAAGGCCUUUGGGUCGUAAAGCUCUGUCAGAGGGGAAGAAAUGAUAUAGUGCUAAUACCACUUUAUCUUGACGGUACCCUCAAAGGAAGCACCGGCUAACUCCGUGCCAGCAGCCGCAGUAAUAC